RNAcentral lists this ribosomal RNA (667 nucleotides) under Suillus luteus. RNAcentral's name for it is "eukaryotic LSU rRNA". The stretch from base 211 to 365 matches the Rfam family "5.8S ribosomal RNA". The record is from RNAcentral. Lineage: Eukaryota; Fungi; Basidiomycota; Agaricomycetes; Boletales; Suillaceae.
GUGGGCUUUGAUAUAUCCGGCGAGGGGAAGGCGGAGAGUUGUAGCUGGCCUCUAGGGGCAUGUGCACGCUCUCUUCCGGACCUUUCGCCGUAUGGGCGCGGGGCGACCCGCGUCUUCAUAUACCUCUUCGUGUAGAAAGUCUUUGAAUGUUUUACCAUCAUCGAGUCGCGACUUCUAGGAGACGCGAUUCUUUGAGAAAAAAGUUAUCACAACUUUCAGCAACGGAUCUCUUGGCUCUCGCAUCGAUGAAGAACGCAGCGAAUCGCGAUAUGUAAUGUGAAUUGCAGAUCUACAGUGAAUCAUCGAAUCUUUGAACGCACCUUGCGCUCCUCGGUGUUCCGAGGAGCAUGCCUGUUUGAGUGUCAGUAAAUUCUCAACCCCUCUCGAUUUGCUUCGAGCGGGUGCUUGGAUGUUGGGGGCUGCCGGAGACACUGGACUCGUCCAGGACUCGGGCUCCUCUUAAAUGAAUCGGCUCGCGGUCGACUUUCGACUUUGCAUGACAAGGCCUUUGGCGUGAUAAUGAUCGCCGUUCGCCGAAGUGCAAGACAGAAUGGUCCCGUGCCUCUAAUGCGUCGACGCCUCUAGGGGCGUCUUCCUCAUUGACGUUUGACCUCAAAUCAGGUAGGACUACCCGCUGAACUUAAGCAUAUCAAAAGCGGGGAGGAAA